This is a long non-coding RNA of Gadus chalcogrammus (walleye pollock), 214 nucleotides long. RefSeq lists it as uncharacterized. The transcript has 4 exons. NCBI's taxonomy places the organism in Eukaryota, Metazoa, Chordata, Actinopteri, Gadiformes, Gadidae. The record is from RefSeq and is a predicted model, not a curated record.
CUGAGGCAGAGGAGGAGUGUGGGCCGCCAGAUAAACGACAAAGGAAGGCAGUGCAUCACUUUGGGGACUCUGAUGAGAGUGAAGAUGGUGGCCAAUUGCACUGGCAGACUCCAACAUCUCGCCGAGGGCCAGGCAGCAGCAGCAGAGUCUCUCCUCGACUUGAGGAAAACUGUCUAGCACCUCACCAUGGGGCAGGACCGCAACAACCGUUGCC